UAAGAUCACUGAAGUGCACAUAGAUCCUGUGAUGUUUAAGCCUGUUUUAAAAUAGGUUGAUACAGGAGAUUUAAAGUUGAUUUUGCAAGUUUUAUCAAAAAUGUCCAUUUAAGUUACAUGUAUUUCAUAUGACAACCUUUCACGAGGAAUAUCCUUCCAGAGCAAUAUAGAUUGGAUGCUAGUUUGUGUGUAGAAUAGGCUUUGUUUCUUCUUCACUGGCAACUGAAAUCCUGCCUGACCUUGAAUCACAUUUAAUCUACACAGACCUCAGCUUUUCUCCGCUGUACAGAGGGUUGAGAUUCAGUGAUCGAAGAAGCUGUGUAAGAAAAGGGGGGUGAACUUUUCAGGGUGACAUGUUGAUAACAAUUUUUUAGUUUAGUGAAGAGGAACAUGUAAACAAGCUUUCAAGUUUUAAAAUACCUGAAAAGAGAAGAAACCUCUUGUGAAGUCACCAAUUUAGUGAAAUUAAAAAUGAGUAAUAGAUCUUGCUGCUUGCUGUAUGUAUGUGUCUUACCUUUAGAGUGUAUUUCUGUAGAUCAGCAGGAUGGAUUCUUUGAGGCCAACUGCAGCAGUGCAGAAGCUUGGAGUCAGGAGCGCAUUCACUCAGGCUGCUACUUUGGGAGCUCUUCAGCUUUGACCUGCAUUUCAUAUUCCUGCACAUAACUAGGGCCAAAGCCCAGGCCUUUUCAGAUACUGGGAGUAGAGAAAUCUGGAGUCGAGUCUUGAGCGUGCUACACACAGCCUCUUUGUUUUUGAGGAACCCAAUCACUGACAACUUUCUGCUUCUCAGUUACAGAGCACAGCUGGGGUGCAGACUUCAGAAGUGUUUUGCUGUGAAUUCUGGAGUCCUUGGGGAGGUUGCUGGGAUGUCUGCCUUUCUCUGUUCAACUCCUGAGCUCAUUCCAGAUGCCCUCCUGGGGGAGGAAGGACUGAAGGAUAGGGUACAGCACUCCUCUUUAACCAGAGAGCAGGUGUGCACGAAUGGAAAGCUUCUGCAGAGUCGUGUGUUCCACCCUGGGGACCUCACCUGGCUCAGGGACUUCUGUGUUCGGCUUGGGAAUACUGUUUUGAGAUGUUCCCUUGAAUUAAAUGCAUCAAAAUCACCCUUUAGUGUAUUGGGUCUGUGGUAUCUCUGGAGAUAGAUGCUGAUGUCAAAUGUCCAAUGCUGGGUGUGCAUCCAUUUGGAGUGGGUCUUGGAAUGUUACUUUGUGCUCUGUGUGACCGAGAGCUGAUCCAUUUCACUGCUGCUGCGAUGUGUGACAAAAACCCACCCUCCCUCCACUUGGAACAGGUGAGAGAUGGAACUAAAGCUCAAAGGAUUUUCUGCUCAGUGAUUAUACCUGAGUUUUAUUGGGAACUUUCUGGGAAAUCUGACACAUAGUUCUGUCCAUGAGGGUAGUUGAGCAUGCCAGUGCACAUCUGCAAACACGCAGUGCCAGAGCGAGAACCUUUGAACUGUAAACCGGGCUUUAUUCCAUGGAAUCCCACUGUGUGCUGCGCCCAGGUCCUUUGUACAAAUAGUUUACGGGGGGGGGGGG
RNAcentral lists this long non-coding RNA (1538 nucleotides) under Chloebia gouldiae (Gouldian finch). Its description in RNAcentral is "Erythrura gouldiae (Gouldian finch) lncRNA (ENSEGOG00005017823.1)". The record is from RNAcentral. Lineage: Eukaryota; Metazoa; Chordata; Aves; Passeriformes; Passeridae.